UACGUAGGUGGCAAGCGUUGUCCGGAAUUAUUGGGCGUAAAGCGCGCGCAGGCGGUCCUUUAAGUCUGAUGUGAAAGCCCACGGCUCAACCGUGGAGGGUCAUUGGAAACUGGGGGACUUGAGUACAGAAGAGAAGAGUGGAAUUCCACGUGUAGCGGUGAAAUGCGUAGAGAUGUGGAGAAACACCAGUGGCGAAGGCGACUCUUUGGUCUGUAACUGACGCUGAGGCGCGAAAGCGUGGGGAGCAAACAGG
RNAcentral lists this ribosomal RNA (253 nucleotides) under uncultured bacterium. RNAcentral describes it as "partial 16S ribosomal RNA". It matches the Rfam family "Bacterial small subunit ribosomal RNA", at positions 524 to 776 of the family's 1533-position model. The record is from RNAcentral.